UAGGUAGUAUAUUAUUACACCACCUUUUCGAGGUGGAGAAGAACAUUAGUUUUCUAGAUC
Molecule: transfer RNA, 60 nt
Filed under: Facelina auriculata
Lineage: Eukaryota; Metazoa; Mollusca; Gastropoda; Nudibranchia; Facelinidae
Description: tRNA-Glu
Source: RNAcentral